This 497-nucleotide ribosomal RNA is filed under the name uncultured bacterium. RNAcentral's name for it is "partial 16S ribosomal RNA". It matches the Rfam family "Bacterial small subunit ribosomal RNA", at positions 28 to 507 of the family's 1533-position model. The record is from RNAcentral.
GAUGAACGCUGGCGGCGUGCCUAAUACAUGCAAGUCGAGCGAACAGACGAGGAGCUUGCUCCUCUGACGUUAGCGGCGGACGGGUGAGUAACACGUGGAUAACCUACCUAUAAGACUGGGAUAACUUCGGGAAACCGGAGCUAAUACCGGAUAAUAUAUUGAACCGCAUGGUUCAAUAGUGAAAGACGGUUUUGCUGUCACUCAUAGAUGGAUCCGCGCCGCAUUAGCUAGUUGGUAAGGUAACGGCUUACCAAGGCAACGAUGCGUAGCCGACCUGAGAGGGUGAUCGGCCACACUGGAACUGAGACACGGUCCAGACUCCUACGGGAGGCAGCAGUAGGGAAUCUUGCGCAAUGGGCGAAAGCCUGACGGAGCAACGCCGCGUGAGUGAUGAAGGUCUUCGGAUCGUAAAACUCUGUUAUUAGGGAAGAACAAAUGUGUAAGUAACUAUGCACGUCUUGACGGUACCUAAUCAGAAAGCCACGGCUAACUACGUG